ACUAAGCGUACACGGUGGAUGCCCUGGCAGUCAGAGGCGAUGAAGGACGUGCUAAUCUGCGAAAAGCGUCGGUAAGGUGAUAUGAACCGUUAUAACCGGCGAUGUCCGAAUGGGGAAACCCAGUGCAAUUCGUUGCACUAUCGUUAACUGAAUACAUAGGUUAACGAGGCGAACCGGGGGAACUGAAACAUCUAAGUACCCCGAGGAAAAGAAAUCAACCGAGAUUCCCCCAGUAGCGGCGAGCGAACGGGGAGCAGCCCAGAGUCUGAAUCAGCUUGUGUGUUAGUGGAACGGUCUGGAAAGUCCGACGGUACAGGGUGAUAGUCCCGUACACCAAAAUGCACAGGUUGUGAACUCGAAGAGUAGGGCGGGACACGUGGUAUCCUGUCUGAAUAUGGGGGGACCAUCCUCCAAGGCUAAAUACUCCUGACUGACCGAUAGUGAACCAGUACCGUGAGGGAAAGGCGAAAAGAACCCCGGCGAGGGGAGUGAAAAAGAACCUGAAACCGUGUACGUACAAGCAGUGGGAGCACCUUCGGGUGUGACUGCGUACCUUUUGUAUAAUGGGUCAGCGACUUAUAUUCUGUAGCAAGGUUAACCGUAUAGGGGAGCCGCAGGGAAACCGAGUCUUAACUGGGCGUUAAGUUGCAGGGUAUAGACCCGAAACCCGGUGAUCUAGCCAUGGGCAGGUUGAAGGUUGGGUAACACUAACUGGAGGACCGAACCGACUAAUGUUGAAAAAUUAGCGGAUGACUUGUGGCUGGGGGUGAAAGGCCAAUCAAACCGGGAGAUAGCUGGUUCUCCCCGAAAGCUAUUUAGGUAGCGCCUCGUGAACUCAUCUUCGGGGGUAGAGCACUGUUUCGGCUAGGGGGUCAUCCCGACUUACCAACCCGAUGCAAACUACGAAUACCGAAGAAUGUUAUCACGGGAGACACACGGCGGGUGCUAACGUCCGUCGUGAAGAGGGAAACAACCCAGACCGCCAGCUAAGGUCCCAAAGUCAUGGUUAAGUGGGAAACGAUGUGGGAAGGCACAGACAGCCAGGAUGUUGGCUUAGAAGCAGCCAUCAUUUAAAGAAAGCGUAAUAGCUCACUGGUCGAGUCGGCCUGCGCGGAAGAUGUAACGGGGCUAAACCAUGCACCGAAGCUGCGGCAGCGACACUAUGUGUUGUUGGGUAGGGGAGCGUUCUGUAAGCCUGCGAAGGUGACCUGUGAGGGUUGCUGGAGGUAUCAGAAGUGCGAAUGCUGACAUAAGUAACGAUAAAGCGGGUGAAAAGCCCGCUCGCCGGAAGACCAAGGGUUCCUGUCCAACGUUAAUCGGGGCAGGGUGAGUCGACCCCUAAGGCGAGGCCGAAAGGCGUAGUCGAUGGGAAACAGGUUAAUAUUCCUGUACUUGGUGUUACUGCGAAGGGGGGACGGAGAAGGCUAUGUUAGCCGGGCGACGGUUGUCCCGGUUUAAGCAUGUAGGCUGGUUAUCCAGGCAAAUCCGGAUAAUCAAGGCUGAGGUGUGAUGACGAGGCACUACGGUGCUGAAGUAACAAAUGCCCUGCUUCCAGGAAAAGCCUCUAAGCAUCAGGUAACAUCAAAUCGUACCCCAAACCGACACAGGUGGUCAGGUAGAGAAUACCAAGGCGCUUGAGAGAACUCGGGUGAAGGAACUAGGCAAAAUGGUGCCGUAACUUCGGGAGAAGGCACGCUGGUGUGUAGGUGAAGUCCCUGCGGAUGGAGCUGAGACCAGUCGAAGAUACCAGCUGGCUGCAACUGUUUAUUAAAAACACAGCACUGUGCAAACACGAAAGUGGACGUAUACGGUGUGACGCCUGCCCGGUGCCGGAAGGUUAAUUGAUGGGGUUAUCCGUAAGGAGAAGCUCUUGAUCGAAGCCCCGGUAAACGGCGGCCGUAACUAUAACGGUCCUAAGGUAGCGAAAUUCCUUGUCGGGUAAGUUCCGACCUGCACGAAUGGCGUAAUGAUGGCCAGGCUGUCUCCACCCGAGACUCAGUGAAAUUGAACUCGCUGUGAAGAUGCAGUGUACCCGCGGCAAGACGGAAAGACCCCGUGAACCUUUACUAUAGCUUGACACUGAACAUUGAGCCUUGAUGUGUAGGAUAGGUGGGAGGCUUUGAAGCGUGGACGCCAGUCUGCGUGGAGCCAACCUUGAAAUACCACCCUUUAAUGUUUGAUGUUCUAACGUUGGCCCCUGACCGGGGUUGCGGACAGUGUCUGGUGGGUAGUUUGACUGGGGCGGUCUCCUCCCAAAGCGUAACGGAGGAGCACGAAGGUUAGCUAAUCCUGGUCGGACAUCAGGAGGUUAGUGCAAUGGCAUAAGCUAGCUUGACUGCGAGCGUGACGGCGCGAGCAGGUGCGAAAGCAGGUCAUAGUGAUCCGGUGGUUCUGAAUGGAAGGGCCAUCGCUCAACGGAUAAAAGGUACUCCGGGGAUAACAGGCUGAUACCGCCCAAGAGUUCAUAUCGACGGCGGUGUUUGGCACCUCGAUGUCGGCUCAUCACAUCCUGGGGCUGAAGUAGGUCCCAAGGGUAUGGCUGUUCGCCAUUUAAAGUGGUACGCGAGCUGGGUUUAGAACGUCGUGAGACAGUUCGGUCCCUAUCUGCCGUGGGCGCUGGAGAAUUGAGGGGGGCUGCUCCUAGUACGAGAGGACCGGAGUGGACGCAUCACUGGUGUUCGGGUUGUCAUGCCAAUGGCACUGCCCGGUAGCUAAAUGCGGAAGAGAUAAGUGCUGAAAGCAUCUAAGCACGAAACUUGCCCCGAGAUGAGUUCUCCCUGAGACUUUAAGUCUCCUGAAGGAACGUUAAAGACGAUGACGUUGAUAGGCCGGGUGUGUAAGCGCAGCGAUGCGUUGAGCUAACCGGUACUAAUGAACCGUGAGGCUUAACC
This 2891-nucleotide ribosomal RNA is filed under the name Klebsiella pneumoniae. RNAcentral describes it as "bacterial LSU rRNA". It matches the Rfam family "Bacterial large subunit ribosomal RNA". The record is from RNAcentral. Lineage: Bacteria; Pseudomonadati; Pseudomonadota; Gammaproteobacteria; Enterobacterales; Enterobacteriaceae.